Long non-coding RNA from Heterocephalus glaber (naked mole-rat), 599 nucleotides. NCBI's taxonomy places the organism in Eukaryota, Metazoa, Chordata, Mammalia, Rodentia, Bathyergidae. The record is from Ensembl.
GGAACUCUAGUUAAGUGAUUUCCUGGAAUCCCUGCUACUCUGGAUUACAGAUGGAGCUGAGGAUAGGCACCUGGCAAAAGCCAGUGGGGAAGGGUCUUGUUUUAUUCCAUUUUGGUGCUGAGGAGCGAACCAGGUUCCUAUGUAUGGAGAUCAAGCAUUCAACCACUGAGCUCUAUCUCCAGCUGCAGAGAGAAGGAUUUUAUGUGCUAUCCUAUGGAGACUGUCUUGUAGAAAAUGGGACUUUCAGAGGAUUACAGGUGAGAAGAACUUUGAAAGUAGGCUGGGAAAGAUACAUGAACACAGUUAAAGAAAGAUUCAGUUACCUGUGGUCAACAUGGCCCAAAAAAUAUGAAAUGGAAAAUUCCAGGAAAACAUUUCAUAGCUUUUAUACAACUUUUACUGCAGCAUAUCAAUUUGAGGUGGCAUGGGAAUUUGGACGAAGGGGCGACAGAGUUCCUGCUUCCCAAAGUCCGGAGACUCAGCUGAUGGCCUGGAGGCUGGCGACAGAGCCCAGAAGACCUGUUUAUUUAUUUAUUUUUUACUUAAAUUCUUUUAUUGGUACAUUUUAGGUAUACAGUGUGUUUACAUUUAUCAUUGGG